Molecule: ribosomal RNA, 253 nt
Filed under: uncultured prokaryote
Description: partial 16S ribosomal RNA
Rfam family: Bacterial small subunit ribosomal RNA
Source: RNAcentral
UACGGAGGAUUCGAGCGUUGUCCGGAUUUAUUGGGUUUAAAGGGUGCGUAGGCGGAUUAUUAAGUCAGAGGUGAAAGCCGGCAGCUCAACUGUCGAAUUGCCUUUGAAACUGGUAGUCUUGAAUACUGUUGAGGUGGGCGGAAUGUAUCAUGUAGCGGUGAAAUGCUUAGAUAUGAUACAGAACACCGAUUGCGAAGGCAGCUCACUAAGCAGUUAUUGACGCUGAGGCACGAAAGCGUGGGGAUCAAACAGG